CCUGGCGCAGGACCAAUGUGGCGCAGCCCUGCUGUUGCUGGGGGGCGCCGGAGGCCUCCGUCCCUUGCCCAGGCUUCUGGCUCUCCAGGCUGCCUCCCUUCCGCCCACGCUCCAGGGCUUCCCCGGCUCCCGAGCUCCGAGCUUCCACCACAUCGGCCGGCUCAGGACAGAACCCAGAGUUGAUCUCUGCAGCAUGCCAUCACUGCUGGGGAUGAGGAAACGGUGAUUUCAGGACUGUUUUUUCUGUCUCUUCAGUGCCUCUUUCAGUGAUCUCAGGUUAAAACCAGGUACUUUGAGUACUCAUCUGAUCUUUGGUUCCUAUGAAUGUAUUUUCUAUGUGGAUAUUAAUAGUUGUUCAUCUGGUGUCCUUGCAGGAGGGACAAUCAGUGGAGCCUUCUUUCUGCCAUCUUGCUUUACUCUCACACCCAAGAAUCAGAAUUCAGAACUUUUAAUAAGAAAAGCUUUCAGAACUCAGGAAGGACAAGGAAGACAUUCUGGUUCUCCAUGCUUAACAUUGGACUCUUUCUUCAACUUAGACUAUGGAGGAUUCAUCACCAGACCAGGAAGCAACAGCCUGGGCUCCAGAGUUGGCCAGCAGUCCAUGCACAGACGAGGAGAGGUCCCAUGAACCUUCAGCGUGGUCU
This 644-nucleotide long non-coding RNA is filed under the name Homo sapiens (human). Its description in RNAcentral is "HSALNT0400600". The record is from RNAcentral. Lineage: Eukaryota; Metazoa; Chordata; Mammalia; Primates; Hominidae.